Molecule: ribosomal RNA, 495 nt
Filed under: uncultured bacterium
Lineage: Bacteria
Description: partial 16S ribosomal RNA
Rfam family: Bacterial small subunit ribosomal RNA
Source: RNAcentral
GAUGAACGCUGGCGGCGUGCCUAAUACAUGCAAGUCGAGCGAACGGACGAGAAGCUUGCUUCUCUGAUGUUAGCGGCGGACGGGUGAGUAACACGUGGAUAACCUACCUAUAAGACUGGGAUAACUUCGGGAAACCGGAGCUAAUACCGGAUAAUAUUUUGAACCGCAUGGUUCAAAAGUGAAAGACGGUCUUACUGUCACUUAUAGAUGGAUCCGCGCUGCAUUAGCUAGUUGGUAAGGUAACGGCUUACCAAGGCAACGAUGAAUAGCCGACCUGGGAGGGUGAUCGGCCACACUGAAACUGAGACACGGUCCAGACUCCUACGGGAGGCAGCAGUAGAGAAUCUUCCGCAAUGGGCGAAAGCCUGACGGAGCAACGCCGCGUGAGUGAUGAAGGUCUUCGGAUCGUAAAACUCUGUUAUUAGGGAAGAACAUAUGUGUAAGUAACUGUGCACAUCUUGACGGUACCUAAUCAGAAAGCCACGGCUAACUACG